RNAcentral lists this ribosomal RNA (212 nucleotides) under Epicoccum sorghinum. RNAcentral's name for it is "5.8S ribosomal RNA". The stretch from base 55 to 209 matches the Rfam family "5.8S ribosomal RNA". From Rfam's summary of the family: 5.8S ribosomal RNA (5.8S rRNA) is a component of the large subunit of the eukaryotic ribosome. It is transcribed by RNA polymerase I as part of the 45S precursor that also contains 18S and 28S rRNA. Functionally, it is thought that 5.8S rRNA may be involved in ribosome translocation. The record is from RNAcentral. Lineage: Eukaryota; Fungi; Ascomycota; Dothideomycetes; Pleosporales; Didymellaceae.
AAACUUAAACCCUUUGCAGUUGAAAUCAGCGUCUGAAAAAACUUAAUAGUUACAACUUUUCAACAACGGAUCUCUUGGUUUCUGGCAUCGAUGAAGAACGCAGCGAAAUGCGAUAAGUAGUGUGAAUUGCAGAAUUCAGUGAAUCAUCGAAUCUUUGAACGCACAUUGCGCCCCUUGGUAUUCCAUGGGGCAUGCCUGUUCGAGCGUCAUUU